AGGGUGUGCCUACGGGGGGCUGCAGCAGUGGGGAAUUUUGGACAAUGGGCGAAAGCCUGAUCCAGCCAUUCCGCGUGCAGGAUGAAGGCCUUCGGGUUGUAAACUGCUUUUGUACGGAACGAAAAGGUCUUUUCUAAUACAGGGGGCUAAUGACGGUACCGGAAGAAUAAGCACCGGCUAACUACGUGCCAGCAGCCGCGGUAAUACGUAGGGUGCGAGCGUUAAUCGGAAUUACUGGGCGUAAAGCGUGCGCAGGCGGUUUUGUAAGACAGAUGUGAAAUCCCCGGGCUCAACCUGGGAACUGCAUUUGUGACUGCAAGGCUAGAGUACGGUAGAGGGGGAUGGAAUUCCGCGUGUAGCAGUGAAAUGCGUAGAUAUGCGGAGGAACACCGAUGGCGAAGGCAGUCCCCUGGGCCUGUACUGACGCUCAUGCACGAAAGCGUGGGGAGCAAACAGGAUUAGAUACCCUUGUAGUCCACGCCCUAAACGAUGUCAACUGGUUGUUGGGUCUUCACUGACUCAGUAACGAAGCUAACGCGUGAAGUUGACCGCCUGGGGAGUACGGCCGCAAGGUUGAAACUUAAAGGAAUUGGCGGGG
RNAcentral lists this ribosomal RNA (598 nucleotides) under Escherichia coli. RNAcentral's name for it is "bacterial SSU rRNA". It matches the Rfam family "Bacterial small subunit ribosomal RNA", at positions 330 to 918 of the family's 1533-position model. Lineage: Bacteria; Pseudomonadati; Pseudomonadota; Gammaproteobacteria; Enterobacterales; Enterobacteriaceae. The record is from RNAcentral.